GAUGAACGCUGGCGGCGUGCCUAAUACAUGCAAGUCGAGCGAACGGACGAGAAGCUUGCUUUUCUGAUGUUAGCGGCGGACGGGUGAGUAACACGUGGAUAACCUACCUAUAAGACUGGGAUAACUUCGGGAAACCGGAGCUAAUACCGGAUAAUAUUUUGAACCGCAUGGUUCAAAAGUGAAAGACGGUCUUGCUGUCACUUAUAGAUGGAUCCGCGCUGCAUUAGCUAGUUGGUAAGGUAACGGCUUACCAAGGCAACGAUGCAUAGCCGACCUGAGAGGGUGAUCGGCCACACUGGAACUGAGACACGGUCCAGACUCCUACGGGAGGCAGCAAUAGGGAAUCUUCCGCCAUGGGCGAAAGCCUGACGGCGCAACGCCGCGUGAGUGAUGAAGGUCUUCGGAUCGUAAAACUCUGUUAUUAGGGAAGAACAUAUGUGUAAGUAACUGUGCACAUCUUGACGGUACCUAAUCAGAAAGCCACGGCUAACUACGUG
RNAcentral lists this ribosomal RNA (497 nucleotides) under uncultured bacterium. RNAcentral describes it as "partial 16S ribosomal RNA". It matches the Rfam family "Bacterial small subunit ribosomal RNA", at positions 28 to 507 of the family's 1533-position model. The record is from RNAcentral.